This 548-nucleotide ribosomal RNA is filed under the name Gallibacterium anatis. Its description in RNAcentral is "bacterial LSU rRNA". It matches the Rfam family "Bacterial large subunit ribosomal RNA", at positions 1 to 580 of the family's 2925-position model. The record is from RNAcentral. Lineage: Bacteria; Pseudomonadati; Pseudomonadota; Gammaproteobacteria; Pasteurellales; Pasteurellaceae.
GUUGUAUAGUUAAGUGACUAAGCGUACACGGUGGAUGCCUUGGCAAUCAGAGGCGAAGAAGGACGUGCUAAUCUGCGAAAAGCGUGGGGGAGCUGAUAAGGAGCGCUAAUCCCACGAUAUCCGAAUGGGGAAACCCGAUAGAUGAAGAAUCUAUCAUUGUUGUCUGAAUUCAUAGGGCAACAAGGCAAACCGGGAGAACUGAAACAUCUAAGUACCCCGAGGAAAAGAAAUCAACCGAGAUUCUGCGAGUAGCGGCGAGCGAAAGCGGAGGAGCCAGCGAGUGAUAGCAUAAGUUUUAGGAGAAUUGUCUGGGAAGGCAAGCGAGAGAGGGUGACAGCCCCGUAUCCGAAAAGACGGAUGUGGUACUAAGCACGCGAGAAGUAGGGCGGGACACGAGGAAUCCUGUUUGAAGAAGGGGGGACCAUCCUCCAAGGCUAAAUACUCCUGAUUGACCGAUAGUGGACCAGUACCGUGAGGGAAAGGCGAAAAGAACCCCGGGAGGGGAGUGAAAGAGAACCUGAAACCGUGUACGUACAAGCAGUGGGAGC